AGAUUGAACGCUGGCGGCAUGCCUAACACAUGCAAGUCGAACGGGAGUAGCAAUACUCUAGUGGCGGACGGGUGAGGAAUACGUAGGAAUUUGCCCUUAAGUGGGGGAUAACCCGGGGAAACCCGGAUUAAUACCGCAUGACCUCGAAAGAGCAAAGUGGGGGAUCGCAAGACCUCACGCUUUUGGAGAAGCCUACGUCGGAUUAGCUAGUUGGUGAGGUAAUGGCUCACCAAGGCGACGAUCCGUAACUGGUCUGAGAGGAUGAUCAGUCACACCGGACUGAGACACGGUCCGGACUCCGUACGGGAGCAGCAGGUGGGAAUAUUGGACAAUGGGG
Molecule: ribosomal RNA, 337 nt
Filed under: uncultured soil bacterium
Lineage: Bacteria
Description: bacterial SSU rRNA
Rfam family: Bacterial small subunit ribosomal RNA
Source: RNAcentral